Molecule: ribosomal RNA, 440 nt
Filed under: uncultured bacterium
Lineage: Bacteria
Description: partial 16S ribosomal RNA
Rfam family: Bacterial small subunit ribosomal RNA
Source: RNAcentral
CCUACGGGAGGCUGCAGUGGGGAAUAUUGCACAAUGGGGGAAACCCUGAUGCAGCGACGCCGCGUGAGUGAAGAAGUAUCUCGGUACGUAAAGCUCUAUCAGCAGGGAAGAAAAUGACGGUACCUGACUAAGAAGCCCCGGCUAACUACGUGCCAGCAGCCGCGGUAAUACGUAGGGGGCAAGCGUUAUCCGGAUUUACUGGGUGUAAAGGGAGCGUAGACGGCAGCACAAGUCUGGAGUGAAAUCCCGGGGCUUAACCCCGGAACUGCUUUGGAAACUGUGCGGCUGGAGUGCAGGAGGGGUAAGCGGACUUCCGAGGGUAGCGGUGAAAUGCGUAGAUAUUAGGAGGAAAACCGGUGGCGAGGGCGGCUUACUGGACUGUAUCUGCCGUGGAGGCUCGAAAGCGUGGGGAGCAAACAGGAUUAGAUACCCUGGUAGUC